GCUUUCCCUCCAGAGUGGAUCCUGAGUACGGCGGAACACGUGAAAUUCCGUCGGAAUCCGGGAGGACCAUCUCCCAAGGCUAAAUACUCCCUAGUGACCGAUAGUGAACCAGUACCGUGAGGGAAAGGUGAAAAGCACCCCGGAAGGGGAGUGAAACAGUUCCUGAAACCGUGUGCCUACAAGUAGUUAGAGCCCGUUAAUGGGUGAUAGCGUGCCUUUUGUAGAAUGAACCGGCGUA
RNAcentral lists this ribosomal RNA (238 nucleotides) under Listeria monocytogenes. RNAcentral describes it as "partial 23S ribosomal RNA". It matches the Rfam family "Bacterial large subunit ribosomal RNA", at positions 387 to 627 of the family's 2925-position model. The record is from RNAcentral. Lineage: Bacteria; Bacillati; Bacillota; Bacilli; Caryophanales; Listeriaceae.